RNAcentral lists this transfer RNA (56 nucleotides) under Tetragnatha riveti. RNAcentral describes it as "tRNA-Ser". RNAcentral also lists the same sequence under 1 other name. The record is from RNAcentral. Lineage: Eukaryota; Metazoa; Arthropoda; Arachnida; Araneae; Tetragnathidae.
UUUGGUUUUUGUUAUAGUGUUUUGAAAGCACUUGUUAAGAAAUAUUUUCUUAAAAG